GAAAGCAGGGGAUCGCAAGACCUCGCGCUCAUGGAGCGGCCGAUGUCGGAUUAGCUAGUUGGCGGGGUAACGGCCCACCAAGGCGACGAUCCGUAGCUGGUCUGAGAGGAUGAUCAGCCACACUGGGACUGAGACACGGCCCAGACUCCUACGGGAGGCAGCAGUGGGGAAUUUUGGACAAUGGGGGCAACCCUGAUCCAGCCAUGCCGCGUGAGUGAAGAAGGCCUUCGGGUUGUAAAGCUCUUUCGGCCGGAACGAAAUCGGGCGCGUGAAUAACGCGCCUGGAUGACGGUACUGGAAGAAGAAGCACCGGCUAACUACGUGCCAGCAGCCGCGGUAAUACGUAGGGUGCGAGCGUUAAUCGGAAUUACUGGGCGUAAAGCGUGCGUAGGCGGUUUCGCAAGUCAGAUGUGAAAUCCCCGGGCUUAACCUGGGGACUGCGUUUGAAACUACAAAGC
This 458-nucleotide ribosomal RNA is filed under the name uncultured beta proteobacterium. RNAcentral's name for it is "bacterial SSU rRNA". It matches the Rfam family "Bacterial small subunit ribosomal RNA", at positions 202 to 641 of the family's 1533-position model. The record is from RNAcentral. Lineage: Bacteria; Pseudomonadati; Pseudomonadota; Betaproteobacteria.